RNAcentral lists this ribosomal RNA (503 nucleotides) under uncultured bacterium. RNAcentral describes it as "partial 16S ribosomal RNA". It matches the Rfam family "Bacterial small subunit ribosomal RNA", at positions 30 to 523 of the family's 1533-position model. The record is from RNAcentral.
AUUGAACGCUGGCGGCAGGCUUAACACAUGCAAGUCGAGCGGGGUGAUGGUGCUUGCACUAUCACUUAGCGGCGGACGGGCGAGUAAUGCUUAGGAAUCUGCCUAUUAGUGGGGGACAACAUCUCGAAAGGGAUGCUCAUACCGCAUACGUCCUACGGGAGAAAGCAGGGGAUCACUUGUGACCUUGCGCUAAUAGAUGAGCCGAAGUCGGAUUAGCUAGUUGGUGGGGUAAAGGCCUACCAAGGCGACGAUCUGUAGCGGGUCUGAGAGGAUGAUCCGCCACACUGGGACUGAGACACGGCCCAGACUCCUACGGGAGGCAGCAGUGGGGAAUAUUGGACAAUGGGGGGAACCCUGAUCCAGCCAUGCCGCGUGUGUGAAGAAGGCCUUAUGGUUGUAAAGCACUUUAAGCGAGGAGGAGGCUCUUUUGGUUAAUACCCAAGAUGAGUGGACGUUACUCGCAGAAUAAGCACCGGCUAACUCUGUGCCAGCAGCCGCAGUAA